AACGAACGCUGGCGGCAUGCCUAACACAUGCAAGUCGAACGAGACCUUCGGGUCUAGUGGCGCACGGGUGCGUAACGCGUGGGAAUCUGCCCUUGGGUUCGGAAUAACAGUUAGAAAUGACUGCUAAUACCGGAUAAUGUCUUCGGACCAAAGAUUUAUCGCCCAGGGAUGAGCCCGCGUAGGAUUAGCUAGUUGGUGAGGUAAAGGCUCACCAAGGCGACGAUCCUUAGCUGGUCUGAGAGGAUGAUCAGCCACACUGGGACUGAGACACGGCCCAGACUCCUACGGGAGGCAGCAGUGGGAAUAUUGGACAAUGGGCGAAAAGCCUGAUCCAGCAAUGCCGCGUGAGUGAUGAAGGCCUUA
Molecule: ribosomal RNA, 363 nt
Filed under: uncultured bacterium
Lineage: Bacteria
Description: bacterial SSU rRNA
Rfam family: Bacterial small subunit ribosomal RNA
Source: RNAcentral